This 65-nucleotide transfer RNA is filed under the name Ipomoea nil (Japanese morning glory). It matches the Rfam family "tRNA", at positions 8 to 63 of the family's 71-position model. Rfam says of the family: Transfer RNA (tRNA) molecules are approximately 80 nucleotides in length. Their secondary structure includes four short double-helical elements and three loops (D, anti-codon, and T loops). Further hydrogen bonds mediate the characteristic L-shaped molecular structure. tRNAs have two regions of fundamental functional importance: the anti-codon, which is responsible for specific mRNA codon recognition, and the 3' end, to which the tRNAs corresponding amino acid is attached (by aminoacyl-tRNA synthetases). tRNAs cope with the degeneracy of the genetic code in two manners: having more than one tRNA (with a specific anti-codon) for a particular amino acid; and 'wobble' base-pairing, i.e. permitting non-standard base-pairing at the 3rd anti-codon position. Lineage: Eukaryota; Viridiplantae; Streptophyta; Magnoliopsida; Solanales; Convolvulaceae. The record is from Rfam by way of RNAcentral.
UGGCCGAAUGGUCUAAGGCACCAGAUUUAGGCUCUGGUCUGAAAGGGUGUGGGUUCAAAUGCCAC